RNAcentral lists this ribosomal RNA (882 nucleotides) under uncultured archaeon. RNAcentral describes it as "bacterial SSU rRNA". It matches the Rfam family "Archaeal small subunit ribosomal RNA", at positions 35 to 922 of the family's 1478-position model. The record is from RNAcentral.
GGAGCGGAUGAACUAGCAUGCGAGUCAUUGUAGCAAUACAAGGCAGACGGCUCAGUAACGCGUAGUCAAUCUACCCUAUGGACGGGAAUAACCUCGGGAAACUGAGAAUAAUACCCGAUAGAACAUUAUGCCUGGAAUGGCUUAUGUUUCAAAUGAUUUAUCGCCAUAGGAUGGGACUGCGGCCUAUCAGUUUGUUGGUGAGGUAAUGGCCCACCAAGACUAUUACAGGUACGGGCUCUGAGAGGAGUAGCCCGGAGAUGGGUACUGAGACACGGACCCAGGCCCUAUGGGGCGCAGCAGGCGAGAAAACUUUGCAAUGUGCGAAAGCACGACAAGGUUAAUCCGAGUGGUUUCUGCUAAAGGAGCCUUUUGUCGGUCCUAGAAACACCGAUGAAUAAGGGGUGGGCAAGUUCUGGUGUCAGCCGCCGCGGUAAAACCGGCACCUCAAGUGGUCAGGAUGAUUAUUGGGCCUAAAGCAUCCGUAGCCGGCUCUGUAAGUUUUCGGUUAAAUCUGUACGCUUAACGUACAGGCUGCCGGGAAUACUGCAUAGCUAGGGAGUGGGAGAGGUAGACGGUACUCGGUAGGAAGGGGUAAAAUCCUUUGAUCUAUUGAUGACCACCUGUGGCGAAGGCGGUCUACCAGAACACGUCCGACGGUGAGGGAUGAAAGCUGGGGGAGCAAACCGGAUUAGAUACCCGGGUAGUCCCAGCUGUAAACUAUGCAAACUCAGUGAUGCAUUGGCUUGUGGCCAAUGCAGUGCUGCAGGGAAGCCGUUAAGUUUGCCGCCUGGGAAGUACGUACGCAAGUAUGAAACUUAAAGGAAUUGGCGGGGGAGCACCACAAGGGGUGAAGCCUGCGGUUCAAUUGGAGUCAACGCCGGA